GAUAAUCAAACCUGCCAAAACUUGACUUUACAUGCGAAACAUUUUCAUUCUAUCUGUGUAAAUAGCUCGAGAGGAGUGGAAUUCGACAUGCUUAAGAGAAUGCAAAAACGUACCUAAUUGUAAGACGCAGACGAAUCGUAGUUACAUAUUUUUUUAAAUUAUUUUACGCUUGCGUGAUAAAUUAAGUGCAGUAUUGUAUCAUUGUUCAAUGUUAAUCAGUGCUUUAUGAAAUAUAUGUAAUCAAUCUGUAACUCUUAAAUGUAUGUAAUGAUCAAUGUUCCUGGAAUUCAAAUACACCUGCACUGAGGGUCGAAACUUAAACGAUAAGUUGGGAGCCAAAAAAACAUUAUGUAGUAUGAUAUUCUGAAAUACAUCGAAUUUCAUGGAAAUUGAUUUUCACGUUACAAGUUU
Molecule: long non-coding RNA, 411 nt
Organism: Diprion similis
Lineage: Eukaryota; Metazoa; Arthropoda; Insecta; Hymenoptera; Diprionidae
Exons: 2
Source: RefSeq, a predicted model, not a curated record